This 733-nucleotide ribosomal RNA is filed under the name uncultured bacterium. RNAcentral describes it as "bacterial SSU rRNA". It matches the Rfam family "Bacterial small subunit ribosomal RNA", at positions 200 to 960 of the family's 1533-position model. The record is from RNAcentral.
GGGAAAGAUUUAUCGGAUUUGGAUCGGCCCGCGUUAGAUUAGGUAGUUGGUGGGGUAACGGCCUACCAAGCCUACGAUCUAUAGCUGGUUUUAGAGGAUGAUCAGCAACACUGGGACUGAGACACGGCCCAGACUCCUACGGGAGGCAGCAGUGGGGAAUCUUGGACAAUGGGCGCAAGUGAUCCAGCCAUGCCGCGUGAGUGAUGAAGGCCUUAGGGUCGUAAAGCUCUUUCGCCAGGGAUGAUAAUGACAGUACCUGGUAAAGAAACCCCGGCUAACUCCGUGCCAGCAGCCGCGGUAAUACGGAGGGGGUUAGCGUUGUUCGGAAUUACUGGGCGUAAAGCGCACGUAGGCGGAUCGGAAAGUUGGGGGUGAAAUCCCGGGGCUCAACCCCGAACUGCCUCCAAAACUAUCGGUCUAGAGUUCGAGAGAGGUGAGUGGAAUUCCGAGUGUAGAGGUGAAAUUCGUAGAUAUUCGGAGGAACACCAGUGGCGAAGGGGCUCACUGGCUCGAUACUGACGCUGAGGUGCGAAAGUGUGGGGAGCAAACAGGAUUAGAUAGCCUGGUAGUCCACACCGUAAACGAUGAAUGCCAGUCGUCGGGUAGCAUGCUAUUCGGUGACACACCUAACGGAUUAAGCAUUCCGCCUGGGGAGUACGGUCGCAAGAUUAAACUCAAAGGAAUUGACGGGGGCCCGCACAAGCGUGGAGCAUGUGGUUUAAUUCGAAGCAAC